AACCUGGUUGAUCCUGCCAGUAGUCAUAUGCUUGUCUCAAAGAUUAAGCCAUGCAUGUCUUAGUGUAAAUAACUCUUAUGAAACUGCGAAUGGCUCAUUAAAUCAGUUAUCGUUUAUUUGAUGGUCCAAGGUUUCCGUAGGUGAACCUGUAGAAGGAUC
Molecule: ribosomal RNA, 159 nt
Filed under: uncultured marine eukaryote
Lineage: Eukaryota
Description: partial 18S ribosomal RNA
Rfam family: Eukaryotic small subunit ribosomal RNA
Source: RNAcentral